Long non-coding RNA from Limulus polyphemus (Atlantic horseshoe crab), 559 nucleotides. RefSeq lists it as uncharacterized. The transcript is spliced from 3 exons. Lineage: Eukaryota; Metazoa; Arthropoda; Merostomata; Xiphosura; Limulidae. The record is from RefSeq and is a predicted model, not a curated record.
ACUCACCACAAUGGAAGAACUUUUAAGAAUAUUUUAAAUGAAUGUUUGAGAAAAUUAUACCCGAGAACAGUUAGCGUGAUGGUUGGCCUUUGGAACGGAUUGCCUUCGGACAUUAUGGAGGCAGCAAAUUUAAAUUGCGAAACGGAAGAAAAAUAAUGUGAAAAGCAUGGGCAUUGUUGGAUGUAUGAAAGUUCCAAGACCAGCGCAGGACGCAAUUAGUUUGUGGUGCCAGACAAUCGGCAAAUUCAGGUUUUCAGCUGUAAUGUAGGUAAUUGAAUUUAAAAACAAAGAAAAAGCAGGUGCAUUCUUCUCUGCCAACAGAAAAGUGUGAAUUUACUUGCGUGUAUUUUGUUUAAAUUACCAUAAAAUGUUUCAGUAUUUUAGUGCAGGUUUUUGUUCGUGUUUCCGACCAAUGUUAGCGACAUCUAUGAUUGGAAAAGAAAGCAUAAGGACUACAAGGGACUAACCAAAUACUACUAAUUCCAUAAGCUACUCGUCAUGUUUACAAAAUCUCAUUCUUGUAACUUCUCGUCCUAUUAUUUUCAGUAAACAACUCAAA